GUGCUCACUUCAGCAGCAGCACCUAUACUAAAAAUGGAAUGAUAUAGAGAUUAGCAUGGCCCCUGCACAAGGAUGACAAUUACAGUUGGAGACUUCAACAUCCCUCUA
This is a small nuclear RNA of Lontra canadensis (Northern American river otter), 108 nucleotides long. NCBI's taxonomy places the organism in Eukaryota, Metazoa, Chordata, Mammalia, Carnivora, Mustelidae. The record is from RefSeq and is a predicted model, not a curated record.